RNAcentral lists this ribosomal RNA (1092 nucleotides) under Bacteroidales bacterium. RNAcentral's name for it is "partial 23S ribosomal RNA". It matches the Rfam family "Bacterial large subunit ribosomal RNA", at positions 1 to 1088 of the family's 2925-position model. Lineage: Bacteria; Pseudomonadati; Bacteroidota; Bacteroidia; Bacteroidales. The record is from RNAcentral.
GCGGCAGGUUGUAAGGGCGCAUGGCGGAUGCCUUGGCUCACGGAGGCGAUGAAGGACGCGAUAAGCUGCGAUAAGCCGCGGUUAGGUGCAAAUGACCCUUGACCCGCGGAUUUCCGAAUGGGACAACCCGGCAGUCUGAAGGACUGUCAUCCCGUGCCGGUGCACGGGAGGCGAACGGGGGGAACUGAAACAUCUUAGUACCCCCAGGAGAGGAAAACAACAGUGAUUCCCCCAGUAGCGGCGAGCGACCGGGGACUAGCCCAAACCGGCGUUGUGUCACCGCAUCGCCGGGGUAGUAGGACCACGACAGGGGCAUUGUAUACGGCGAGAGGAAUGUUCUGGAAAGUUCAACCGCAGAGGAUGACAGUUCCGUACUCGAAGCCUUGUGCAGCCCAGUGGUAUCCUGAGUAGCGCGGGACACGUGUAAUCCUGCGCGAAUCGGCCGGGUCCAUCCGGCAAGGCUGAAUACUCCCGUGAGACCGAUAGCGUACGAGUACCGUGAGGGAAAGGUGAAAAGCACCCCGACGAGGGGAUUGAAAUAGUUCCUGAAACCAUGCGCCUACAAGCGGUCGGAGCCCGUAUUUUACGGGUGACGGCGUGCCUUUUGCAUAAUGAACCUACGAGUUGCCGUCACCGGCGAGGUUAAGCGUCAUGAGGCGCGUUAGCCGCAGUGAAAGCGAGGCUGAAGAGGCCGCAGAGUCGGUGUUGGCAGACGCGAAACCGGGUGAUCUACACAUGUCCAGGAUGAAGUCCCGGUAACACGGGAUGGAGGUCCGCACCGAUAAGCGUUGAAAAGCUUCCGGAUGAGGUGUGUGUAGGAGUGAAAGGCCAAUCAAACUCGGAGAUAGCUCGUACUCCCCGAAAGGCAUUUAGGUGCCGCGUCGGAUGGUCACCGUGAGAGGUAGAGCGACCGAUAGGUCAAGAGGGCUUCACCGCCUAUCGAGACCUGACGAACUCCGAAUGCUCACGGUCUGCAGUCCGGCAGUAAGGGCAUGGGUGCUAAGGUCCGUGCCCGAGAGGAGAAGAAUCCAGACCGCCGUCUAAGGUCCCGGAAUCCUGUCUGAGUUAGUCUAACGAAGUCUGGUCUCGAUG